UAAUAUGAGAGUUUGAUCUUGGCUCAGGAUGAACGCUGGCGGCGUGCCUAAUACAUGCAAGUCGAACGAACUUCCGUUAAUUGAUUAUGACGUACUUGUACUGAUUGAGAUUUUAACACGAAGUGAGUGGCGAACGGGUGAGUAACACGUGGGUAACCUGCCCAGAAGUAGGGGAUAACACCUGGAAACAGAUGCUAAUACCGUAUAACAGAGAAAACCGCAUGGUUUUCUUUUAAAAGAUGGCUCUGCUAUCACUUUUGGAUGGACCCGCGGCGUAUUAGCUAGUUGGUGAGGUAAAGGCUCACCAAGGCAGUGAUACGUAGCCGACCUGAGAGGGUAAUCGGCCACAUUGGGACUGAGACACGGCCCAGACUCCUACGGGAGG
Molecule: ribosomal RNA, 385 nt
Filed under: Pediococcus pentosaceus
Lineage: Bacteria; Bacillati; Bacillota; Bacilli; Lactobacillales; Lactobacillaceae
Description: bacterial SSU rRNA
Rfam family: Bacterial small subunit ribosomal RNA
Source: RNAcentral